UGCGAAUGGCUCAUUAAAUCAGCUAUGGUUCCUUAGAUCAUAAAUACUACAUGGAUAACUGUAGUAAUUCUAGAGCUAAUACAUGCCACUAUGCCCUGACCCGCAAGGGAAUGGGUGGAUUUAUUAGAACAGAACCAACCAGAAAUAGUUUCGGCUAUUUCUGUUGUACUCUGUGAUGACUCUGGAUAACUUCACUGAUCGCAGUCGACCUUGUGUCGGCGACGGAUCUUUCAAAUAUCUGCCCUAUCAACUGUCGAUGGUAGGUGACCUGCCUACCAUGGUGAUAACGGGUAACGGGGAAUCAGGGUUCGAUUCCGGAGAGGGAGCCUGAGAAACGGCUACCACUUCCAAGGAAGGCAGCAGGCGCGAAAAUUACCCACUCCCGGCACGGGGAGGUAGUGACGAAAAAUACGAAUACGGGACUCAAUUGAGGCUCCGUAAUUCGAAUGAGUACACUUUAAAUCCUUUAACGAGGACCAAUUGGAGGGCAAGUCUGGUGCCAGCAGCCGCGGUAACUCCAGCUCCAAAAGCGUAUAUUAAAGUUGCUGCAGUUAAAAAGCUCGUAGUUGGAUCUGGGUCGUGUGGUCACAUACCGUUGCUUGUUCUACUAUCUUGAUUAAAAUCGAGACAGUAGUACGGGUCGGUGUAGUGACCGUGCAACCUUUCAGUCGUGUCUGUGUAAACAGGUGUUGGUUUAGUUAAUAGGUUCGCCCUAUUAGCUUGCUAACAUGCUUCCGGAUGCCUUUAAACGGGUGUCGGGGGCAGACGACACUUUUACUUUGAACAAAUUUGAGUGCUCAAAGCAGGCUUGUAUGCCUGAAAAUUCUUGCAUGGAAUAAUAGAAUAGGACUUCGGUUCUAUUUUGUUGGUUCUCGGAUCCGAAGUAAUGGUUAAGAGGGACAGACGGGGGCAUUUGUAUGGCGGUGUUAGAGGUGAAAUUCUUGGAUCGCCGCCAGACAAACUACAGCGAAAGCAUUUGCCAAGAAUGUUUUCAUUGAUCAGGAGCGAAAGUCAGAGGAUCGAAGACGAUCAGAUACCGUCCUAGUUCUGACCAUAAACGAUGCCAACUGACGAUCCGCGGUGGUUCUUUAAUUGGCUCCGCGGGCAGUCCCCGGGAAACCUUUAAGUCUUUGGGCUCCGGGGGAAGUAUGGUUGCAAAGCUGAAACUUAAAGGAAUUGACGGAAGGGCACCACCAGGAGUGGAGCCUGCGGCUUAAUUCGACUCAACACGGGAAAACUCACCCGGCCCGGACACUGUGAGGAUUGACAGAUUGAUAGCUCUUUCUUGAUUCGGUGGUUGGUGGUGCAUGGCCGUUCUUAGUUGGUGGAGCGAUUUGUCUGGUUAAUUCCGAUAACGAACGAGACUUUGACCUACUAAAUAGUUCGCCUGUCCUCUGUGCUCGUGCAGAUUGCGGCUUCUACUGCCUCUUCGAGGGGUGAUAGGGUCGUAAAUCGACGGGUACGGUGCAGGUGUUAACUUCUUAGAGGGACAAGCGGCACACAAGUCGCACGAAAUUGAGCAAUAACAGGUCUGUGAUGCCCUUAGAUGUCCGGGGCCGCACGUGCGCUACAAUGACGGUGUCAGCGAGUCUGGAAACCUGGCCCGAAAGGGUUGGGUAAACUGUUCCAUCACCGUCGUGACUGGGAUCGGGGCUUGCAAUUAUUCCCCGUGAACGAGGAAUUCCUGGUAAGUGCAAGUCAUAAGCUUGCGCUGAUUACGUCCCUGCCCUUUGUACACACCGCCCGUCGCUACUACCGAUUGAAUGGUUUAGCAAGGUCCUCGGAUUGGUGAUGUUGUAGUGACUUUUGUCACAUGAACUGUGCCAAGAAGACGACCGAACUUGAUCAUUUAGAGGAAGUAAAAGUCGUAACAAGGUUUCCGUAGGUGAACCUGCGGAAGGAUCAUUACAAAUCCCUAAUUAUUAAACCAUUAUUAUCAUACAUAUGUGCAUGUGUGCAUGUAUGUAUGUAUAAAAGUCUACUUGAUGUUUGGUAUUUAAAAGUAACUAAACAUUAAAAGACUAUAAAUUUAUAUGUAAACAAUAUUAAUAUUUAUUAAAAGAAAUUGACGGAUGGAUUUUAUGGAUCCGCGGCUUAGGGCUAUGCCUAUCAAUUUAAAUUUGUUAUGCAUAGUGCCUGUGUUAGACGAGGUGUCUAACCUGUCAGAUGCUCUGAUGGUAUGCUCGUAGAUUAUUAUUAUUAUUAUUAUUAUAGUAAACUACCAGUCAUGCUUGGAGCGACAGGAUAGUACUGUGUACAACACUGUGCUAGGCUCAAAGAGGAGUGCAGGACUACGGACCGGCUCCCGCCUCAUUUGUUGUUAAUUUAAUUACUAUUAUUACACUGUUUAAGCUAACUAAAUUAGAUUUAAUUCUGAUUUUGUUAGUUGACUUAUGGCAUGCACCUGAUUGCUAGUCAAUUGGACUGCAUGUGACGAUCGCCUAGCGGUGCCUUAUCCUAGGCUCGAUCGGUAAAUCGAAAUGUUUGUUUUCAUUAAUUUUCAUUAAUGAAACAAAUAUUGUACAACUUUAAGCGGUGGAUCACUCGGCUCGUGUGUCGAUGAAGAGUGCAGCCAACUGUGUGAAUUAAUGUGAACUGCAUACUGCUUUGAACAUCGACCUCUUGAACGCAUAUUGCGGCCACGGGAUAUCCUGUGGCCACGCCUGGCCGAGGGUCGGCUUAUAAACUAUCACGAUGCCCAAAAAGUCGUGGAUUGGAUGCUGUGCCAGCUGGCAUGAUUUCCUCAAUGUAGUAUUUAAUUAAUAUACUAACAUAUGAGGUGCCAGAUCUAUGGCUCCAUCCUAAUGUAUCCGGUUACAGCCAAGUCUAUAUUUAUUAUUAUUAAAUGAUAAAAUUGCUGUAUUACUGGAUUAUGCUCAGGUCGUGGCUCAAUGAUUUUGAACACGCUUGAUGUUAUAAUCCAUAUAUUAAUUAUAUAAAUAUAGACAUUGGAUUAUUUUGUAGCCGAUGGAGUGUAAAUACUCUAUAAUAUGGGUAAUUUAUUGAUUUAUAUGAUACCCUAAUUAUAUAUAUUAUGACCCUGACCUCGGAUCAGACGUGAUUACCCGCUGAACUUAAGCAUAUCACUAAGCGGAGGAAAAGAAACUAACCAGGAUUCCCCCAGUAACGGCGAGUGAACGGGGAUUAGCCCAGCACCGAAGCCUGUGACCAUUUGGUUACUAGGCAAUGUGGUGUUUAGGUCAACUUAUGGCAUUAUUGCUCUACCCUAAGUCCAGCAAUGAGUACGGCUUACUGGAAUGGCCCAUAGAGGGUGAAAGGCCCGUAAGGGUAGAGACCAAAUGGACAAUAAUGCCCUUAGUAGACCUUGGAGUCGGGUUGUUUGUGAAUGCAGCCCAAAAUGGGUGGUAAACUCCAUCUAAGGCUAAAUACUGACACGAGUCCGAUAGCGAACAAGUACCGUGAGGGAAAGUUGAAAAGUACUUUGAAGAGAGGGUAAACAGUGCGUGAAACCGCUUAAAGGUAAACGGGUGGAGUUGAACUGUAAGCCUUGGGAAUUCAACUGGUAAGUAUUACAUGAGCUUGGGCAUUAUUGGUCGACUUUUAAAGUCUGCUUAGUUGCGGGUCCUUGACCUUUAUUGGUUAAGGAUGUGCGAUGCACUAUUAAAGUGCUGUGCACUUUAAAAGUUGAAGGCCUGCUUGCCAGUGCACUUUCCCUUGGUGAUCACCACGACCGGCGCUGCUGUCUGUUUACUUUGAUCAAACCGAUUUUGUCUAACCUUUAUGAUUAGACCUAAUCGGGAUGGCAGGUAGCUCAUUGGUUAAUUGUUAGCUUUUGUUAACAAUUAUCUUUGGGUGUAAUCAGCUGAUCAUUGUAAAUCUGUGCAGUGCGCCGGAGAUGACGGCUAUGGUGUGUGCAUACGUGCUUUGCUAAUUGAUGUUGCUUAGUCUGAUCGGAUUUGUUUACUCACUUUUGUGGGUCUGCUGAUGGCUAAGCUUCGUUCGAUUAUCGGUAGCGUAUGUGACACUAAAUUGGGCCAAUAGUCUGUGGUGUUGCGGUAGACGAUCCACCUGACCCGUCUUGAAACACGGACCAAGGAGUUUAACAUGUGCGCGAGUCAUUGGGCGUUACGAAACCCAAAGGCGUAGUGAAAGUAAAGGCUUAGCUUGUCUAAGCUGUGGUGAGAUCCUGCCGUUUCUCGUGCCUGGUACCACCAAGCGUUUGAGCGGUAGGCGCAUCACCAGCCCGUCUCAUGGUGUAGUCAUGUAACUUGUUAUAUGCAUCACCGGGGCGGAGCUUGAGCGUACACGUUGAGACCCGAAAGAUGGUGAACUAUGCUUGCGCAGGUUGAAGCCAGAGGAAACUCUGGUGGAGGACCGUAGCGAUUCUGACGUGCAAAUCGAUCGUCUAACGUGAGUAUAGGGGCGAAAGACUAAUCGAACCAUCUAGUAGCUGGUUCCCUCCGAAGUUUCCCUCAGGAUAGCA
Molecule: ribosomal RNA, 4444 nt
Filed under: Leucochloridium perturbatum
Lineage: Eukaryota; Metazoa; Platyhelminthes; Trematoda; Diplostomida; Leucochloridiidae
Description: eukaryotic LSU rRNA
Rfam family: Eukaryotic small subunit ribosomal RNA (bases 1-1908)
Source: RNAcentral